UACGUAGGGUGCAAGCGUUGUCCGGAAUUAUUGGGCGUAAAGAGCUCGUAGGCGGUCUGUCGCGUCGGAUGUGAAAACCCAGGGCUCAACCCUGGGCCUGCAUUCGAUACGGGCAGACUAGAGUUCGGUAGGGGAGACUGGAAUUCCUGGUGUAGCGGUGAAAUGCGCAGAUAUCAGGAGGAACACCGGUGGCGAAGGCGGGUCUCUGGGCCGAGACUGACGCUGAGGCGCGAAAGCGUGGGGAGCAAACAGG
This 253-nucleotide ribosomal RNA is filed under the name uncultured bacterium. Its description in RNAcentral is "partial 16S ribosomal RNA". It matches the Rfam family "Bacterial small subunit ribosomal RNA", at positions 524 to 776 of the family's 1533-position model. The record is from RNAcentral.